CGGGGUGGAGUAAUGUCUGGGAAACUGCCUGAUGGAGGGGGGUAACUGCGGGAAACGGUAGCUAAUACCGCAUACGUCGCAAGACCAAAGAGGGGGACCUUCGGGCCUCUUGCCAUCGGAUGUGCCCAGAUGGGAUUAGCUAGUAGGUGGGGUAACGGCUCACCUAGGCGACGAUCCCUAGCUGGUCUGAGAGGAUGACCAGCCACACUGGAACUGAGACACGGUCCAG
This 229-nucleotide ribosomal RNA is filed under the name uncultured bacterium. Its description in RNAcentral is "partial 16S ribosomal RNA". It matches the Rfam family "Bacterial small subunit ribosomal RNA", at positions 104 to 334 of the family's 1533-position model. The record is from RNAcentral.